ACUACAUUACAUAUGCCAGUCUGAUCGUCAGGAUCUUUGGUUGGACGGCGCAUUGGACGGGACGCGAUUGCGGGAAUAUUUUUUUGUUUAUUUUGUUUUUAUUUAAAAUGCCAUGAGAUACCCAAGUGACUUUGAAUUAGAAAUAGUGGAUAUUAAGUUUGUUAAUAUUUAUUGGUUUUUUAAAUGUAAUUAGAGGAGGAACAAUGUCAAAUAAAAAACAACAGUUUAUCAGGAUAUUAAACCAAGACGAACAAAAAAGUAAAUAAAUAAAACGAAAGCAAACCAAUGUGCAGGUGUCACGCAAUGUGUAAGCGUAAACAUAAGUGUAAAUUAGCAUGGAAAACGUGAAAUAAUUAAGAAGCAAUUCAGAUCAAGGCUUGAUAAUCAUCAUCAUAUCAUCUUGAUGACGCUAGGAAUUUCUUAUUAUGAUAAAACUCAACAUAAUUAAAUAAUUUAAUAAUUCAAUUACACUCACCUUUGAUCGUAGACCUUCAUUCUUAGAGAUGGGAUGUGUGUUGAUUAAGAUUAUCAAUUACACACCACUGUGAACAAGUUAAAUAUUCAAUUAACAAUCAAAUUUGUAUGGCUAAUGAGAAGAUUAUUAAAUGAGAAUGUAAACAAGGGAAUGAAUUAGAUGAUGACAAAAAGCUAUAAGAGCAAAAAGGAGAGGUUCACCUUUCUCGAGCACGAACCCAAGACUCACUUUCGUUUAGACGAAACGAAAGUUAAGAAGUUGAUUUACAAGCACGUCAUUCUCGUUUUUUAUAUAUAUAUAUAUAUAUUUACAUAUUUUUUUGUUUUUUUUCUUUUUUUCUUUUUUGAUUGCUAAAUAUUAUACCUUCAUAAACGUUUUUGAAUGAAAAAUUACAUAAAGUGAAAGGACCUGCACUUGAAAUAGUUCAAUAUGUAAUGCAAAAUUAUAUAGAAAAAAAUCUUACACAAUUGGGGCUAUAAUUAAAUAUCUUUAAUAUGCCCCUCCCCACCUCCCCUUUAUAUGGAUAAUCUAUGAGGUUAAUUAUUAAGGGGUAAUUUGGAUUCAACACGCAGGGCGAUUUGUCUGCAAAUAUCGAGGUUACUAAUCCUGUUACUUUUCAGUUGAAGGCCGAAUAUUUUUUAGCUACUCCAAAAAUUUUAUUUUAUCAAUUAAAAAAUAUGA
This is a long non-coding RNA of Chelonus insularis, 1156 nucleotides long. RefSeq lists it as uncharacterized. The record is from RefSeq and is a predicted model, not a curated record. The transcript has 3 exons. Lineage: Eukaryota; Metazoa; Arthropoda; Insecta; Hymenoptera; Braconidae.